UUUCCUGUGGUGCAAUGGCAGCACGCCUGAUUUUGGUUCAGCAGAUCGUGGUUCGAGUCCAUGCAGGAAAAC
RNAcentral lists this transfer RNA (72 nucleotides) under Mucilaginibacter gotjawali. RNAcentral's name for it is "tRNA-Gln". It matches the Rfam family "tRNA". Rfam says of the family: Transfer RNA (tRNA) molecules are approximately 80 nucleotides in length. Their secondary structure includes four short double-helical elements and three loops (D, anti-codon, and T loops). The record is from RNAcentral. Lineage: Bacteria; Pseudomonadati; Bacteroidota; Sphingobacteriia; Sphingobacteriales; Sphingobacteriaceae.